This is a long non-coding RNA of Gallus gallus (chicken), 2999 nucleotides long. NCBI's taxonomy places the organism in Eukaryota, Metazoa, Chordata, Aves, Galliformes, Phasianidae. The record is from Ensembl.
CAGGCAAAAAUCCUUCUGUUUUUAUAAUGCUCCAAGCACGUUAUACAUGUCAAUGUUAGUGCCGUGUGCCCUACAUAAAUAAAAACAACUUACCAAUGCUCAGCGGGGUGUUACACAUCUUACAGCUAACCUCCGUAUGCGCUGUCUGGUAUCAGUGAGUAAGCUGCUAAUUAGGGUUAGCCAGGAGUGCAGAACGGGGCCGAUUGCAGGGCAGGCACCGACCCAGCACGUGGCUGCACACUGCAAGUUGAACAGUACCCGAGCUCAAGGCUGGCUUUUAUUUUCUGCAUUGUUUCCCUCUGCAUAAACAUCAGGAACAUGCUUAGACAGUAGAAUUGAGCCCGGAUGUCUGGAGGGCAUCUGGAGGUGUUCAGGUGUGUGAUUGCUUCCUGUCUGCCCACCGCAGCGCUCUCCUGUCUGCAGUACAAACACAGCGCUGCUGGAGGUGUGGGUGCUGCGGGGCUGGGCAGGAACGUGGGUAGCAGUGAGAGGCUGCAGUGUGCAGUGUUUGGGGAGGGGGAGUUCUGAAGGAUUUUUGAUGGGUAGCUUACGUGUCUGUUAGGUGAGAGCACAGCGGUGGCAGUAGAAAAUAAGGAGCGUGGAGGCAGUGUCAGUGUGAGAUUUCAGCAACAAAUAUGUGUGUUCUUUUAGGUAGAAUGACUUAAAACGGUUUUUACUGCAUCGCAUUCAGUACAGAUCACACGAGUGAGCGGUCCUUGGGCUGCCCUUACCCACCUGGAGAAACAGCUGCCCCAGGAAGGGGCUCUGUGCCUACCCUGGCAGCAGUCUCCCACUCAUUUCCCUAGAUAAAUGUGAGUGUUCUGUGCAGACUCCAGCAGGAUGCUGUCCCACGUGUGAGGCCAGCUUUGGCGGGUUGUAACCCUGUGAGUCUUGCUUGUUAUUUAAGGGUGUGGGGGCUGCUGGCUCUUGGGCAGUGAGUUUGUGUUUGUGUGCAUUGGGAUGGGGGCGGAGAUGUUCCCUGUCACACCAUCAGAACCAGAGCUCUGGUGGCUGAGGGAAAAGCAAUGAAAUCCCAUUCUAGGAUUUCAGAGAGAAGGUCCAAGGGUGCAUAGGUGGCCAAAGCGUUUGGAGAGACACACAUGGGCACGUGUGUGCUUAACAAGAUUUGGUACCAAAAAAAAAGAAAAGAGGUAUUUUUGCUUUGAAAAUCCCCCUGAGGGCCCCGAUGUCUUCAUGGGGAGCUGUUUGCCCUUGGGCACAAGCCCCUCUGACACCUGGUGGGACAGCAAAAGGUAACGGAGAAGGCUUGAAAUUAAAUAAUGCCUGUGGACUUCUUAAGCGUUGCGUUGAGCUGAACAGAGCACUGUGGCUGUCCCCUGAGGAGCGCUGGGACAGCUGUAAGGGCAGCUUCUGUACAGCCUGCUCCCAUAACAUCUAAUUGCUUUCAUAUCUAUCAAACACUAAAAGCCUUUCUUCGGAGUUGUGCGUUUGUUUUUAAAUCAAAUAGAUUUAUUCUUGAUGUCUCGGGCACAUUAUUGCAGUAACCUCAUCCUUGGACCAAAACUUUGGCAGAACACACGUAUCUGUAAUGAGGACUUUGUGUUCUGUGGAGGCUUUAUUACAAAAGAGGAUGAACAAGUAUAUUAGAAAGAAAGGGGAGAAACAGGGAAGACUACUUUUUUUGGCAAAGCUUUGUGCUACAGCUCUCGUUUCUCUGGUUGCAGCUGCCUUCAGGCGCACAUCUCAGUCCCUUGUUAUGUUGUGCUCAACUGUUGAUGCUUCCCAGGUUUGCUCUUUGGUGAAACAGGCACGUGUGCAGGUUCCCCAUAAAAAUGGCCGGUUUGGGUUUUACCAGGAACUCUGGCACUUCUCCAUUAUAAGAAGGGAUUACAUUUUUAGGGAGAAUUAACAAGGCAGGAGUAGUGAAGCACUUGAAAUGUCCAGUUUAAUUCUCUCUCUUCCUGCAAACAAGCUCACACGAGCAGGUUUUUCAGAAGUCCUGAAAUGAAAGCUUCCUGGAAGAAAUACAUUUCCCUGUGGGACCACACAGCUCUCAGUCCUGCCUCCGUGUGAAGGUAAGAAAGCUCUGUUUUCAUUUACUAUUUAUGAGAUGUGCAUUCGUAUUACAAAGUGACCAUAGGAUUCUGGGCUCUUAAGAAUCUCCAAAUGAGAUGGAGCUCAUUACUUUUUAAUGUAAAAAGGAUUAUUGUGAUCUUAGUGACAGGAUAUGUGACCUCAGCUAUGUGUCUUGCUGUAGGAUAUGUACUGAGGCUUUUCCUUUAGGGAGGUGAUAAAGCACACGCAAGUAUUUUCCACGUUCUGUUCAGCUUAUAGAGAUAUUUAUUAGAAAUAAAACCAAAGGAGAUGUAUAUACAUAUUGUAAUUGCAGACCAUGACUGGUGAAUUCAUGUGAAUUUUACUAUUGAGAUAAAUGCAGGGGCGCGCUUUCAAAAUAAAGGCUCAUAAUUGCAUAAAGGCUCCUGUCUCCAUGGUUGUUCUCACGGUCCCAAAGGAAAGCAGAGUCUGAUUAUCAGGGAAUCUCCUGUGAAUAUUUCCCCAGUAAAUUGGGAUUUCCUUUGCAGAUGAUGUUCCUGGGUGUCAAGCCACGGCCCUGCUCUGGUGGCAUGUGAGGUGUGAGCCUCCAACUGCCUCUGGCUGUACUGCAGCAAUCCACAGAAUGACUGGAAGCACAGCACAUGAGCUUUCUGGCUUUAUUUCUUGCAAGUACUGCUGGGCCUGUCCCCUUCCAUGCCCGUCUGCUUCGCUGAUGAAAGCUGCCCUGGAGCCUGCAGGUUGCACAUAGGUUGUGUGCACAACGUGGACGUUAUUUAAAGAAAUGCCAACAGGUAGGGAAGGUGUUUUGCUUUUGGGAGAACGUGCCAGAUGGACAGCAUGCCAAAGACAGCUCAAGGAGGAGACAGCUUGGGAAAUGGGAGCAUACAUCUCGCCGGUCUGAAGAGAGCUCAUAGCAGCUCAGGAUCUUUCUGAUUUUUAUGAGCCUUGGAAUGAAUAGCCCUAAAUAGAAGAUAGAUGCAAAC